UGCCGCGUGUGUGAAGAAGGCCUUUUGGUUGUAAAGCACUUUAAGCGAGGAGGAGGAGCUCUUGGUUAAUACCCAAGAAUGCUUGGACGUUACUCGCAGAAUAAGCACCGGCUAACUCUGUGCCAGCAGCCGCGGUAAUACAGAGGGUGCAAGCGUUAAUCGGAUUUACUGGGCGUAAAGCGCGCGUAGGUGGCCAAUUAAGUCAAAUGUGAAAUCCCCGAGCUUAACUUGGGAAUUGCAUUCGAUACUGGUUGGCUAGAGUAUGGGAGAGGAUGGUAGAAUUCCAGGUGUAGCGGUGAAAUGCGUAGAGAUCUGGAGGAAUACCGAUGGCGAAGGCAGCCAUCUGGCCUAAUACUGACACUGAGGUGCGAAAGCAUGGGGAGCAAACAGGAUUAGAUACCCUGGUAGUCCAUGCCGUAAACGAUGUCUACUAGCCGUUGGGGCCUUUGAGGCUUUAGUGGCGCAGCUAACGCGAUAAGUAGACCGCCUGGGGAGUACGGUCGCAAGACUAAAACUCAAAUGAAUUGACGGGGGCCCGCACAAGCGGUGGAGCAUGUGGUNNAAUUCGAUGCAACGCGA
This 579-nucleotide ribosomal RNA is filed under the name bacterium E-1-0-1E. RNAcentral describes it as "bacterial SSU rRNA". It matches the Rfam family "Bacterial small subunit ribosomal RNA", at positions 395 to 964 of the family's 1533-position model. The record is from RNAcentral.